Molecule: ribosomal RNA, 738 nt
Filed under: Trichaptum fuscoviolaceum
Lineage: Eukaryota; Fungi; Basidiomycota; Agaricomycetes; Hymenochaetales; Trichaptaceae
Description: partial large subunit ribosomal RNA
Source: RNAcentral
GAGUUGUAAUCUGGAGAAGCGUUUUCCGUGUCGGACCGUGCACAAGUCUCUUGGAACAGAGCGUCAUAGAGGGUGAGAAUCCCGUUUAUGGCACGGACAACCGAUACUUUGUGAUACGUUUUCUAAGAGUCGAGUUGUUUGGGAAUGCAGCUCAAAAUGGGUGGUAAAUUCCAUCUAAAGCUAAAUAUAGGCGAGAGACCGAUAGCGAACAAGUACCGUGAGGGAAAGAUGAAAAGCACUUUGGAAAGAGAGUUAAACAGUACGUGAAAUUGUUGAAAGGGAAACGCUUGAAGUCAGUCGCGUCUUCUAGGACUCAGCCUUGCUUCGGUUAGGUGUACUUCCUGGUUUGACGGGUCAACAUCGAUUUUGAUCGACGGAUAAAGGAGAAGGGAACGUGGCACCUCCGGGUGUGUUAUAGCCCUCUUCGUAUACGUCGAUUGGGAUCGAGGACUGCAGCACGCCCUUGUGGCCGGGGGUUCGCCCUACGUAUCGUGCUUAGGAUGUUGACAUAAUGGCUUUAAGCGACCCGUCUUGAAACACGGACCAAGGAGUCUAACAUGCUCGCGAGUGUUAGGGUGGAAAACCCUUGCGCGUAAUGAAAGUGAAAGUUGGGACCUCUGCGAGGAGGGCACCGACGCCCGGCCCUGAAGUYUUCUGACGGUGCUGCGGUAGAGCGCGUAUGUUGGGACCCGAAAGAUGGUGAACUAUGCCUGAAUAGGGCGAAGCCAGAGGAAACUC